AGGGUGGAGAGAUGUCCUCUCAGUACGUACGGACCCGCGGUUACAAUUUCAGGGCUCCUUACAGGGUAGUUUCAGUCAGAAGCGGCCGGGUUGGGCAGGCGGAGGUGGUUUCGCUUUACACAUCAGCCUCUUUGGGCAAGAACUUGGAGGUGUGGAAAUGCUUUUUGCUGCUCCCCGCUCUGCCCCGGUUAAAAAACAAAGUGGCUUCAUCGGAGUUUUCGUGCAGUGGGGGCUGGCAGAGAGCUGCGGCAUCUGGCAGUCCGGGCUGUGAGGCGUUUGCAGAGCGGCGGGGUUUGUAACCCUCCUGCACCAAGUGACUAAGGACACAGAGAAUGAUUGUUGGCACAUUUCAUUGAGAUCACAUGGAGAUAUGACAAUUCAAGCUACCACUGGGACCUGAAAUUUUCACAGAGAAGGUUCUACCACAGGCAGCUGCUCUCCAGACACGCUUCUGAUGCCAGCUGUGACUGUGUGGGUUUAAGGACGAGCAGCAUCUCCCCAUACAAAGCCUUGUAGAUGAGAACAAAAAGUCAAAGCUGUGUGUGGAGCACCAGUGCUAUGUUCAGACCUGGGCAAGUUUUCCUGUUAGGCAGGCAUUUUCCCACUGCACGAGGAAGAACCACAACACUCAAAACAGUUUUCCUAGAGGGGGGGAAAAUAUGAAAGUGAGAUCCAGCCAUCCUGAAAUUGCUGAUCAGGGCGUUUACCUCAGUCACCGAACAUCUGCAUUCAAAUCCUUUCUUUGCCUCUCUCACACCACAGAUGGGAAUGUGGGUUUCCCACAUCCCGAGCUUGUGGUUUUACCACCAGGCUACUUGUUCUUUGAAAGCAGGUCUCUCUUUUUGCUUUUACAUCUGCUCAUGUGAGGUAACCUACUUAAUAAGCAAACUGAAUCACCCCAGUUUAAGUCUAAUUUGUGAGAUGAUUUCAUGUUAUAUCGUCACAUGUAUUUUUGCAAGAGUCUCUUUUAAUGAGGCUGUUGGGAAACAAUCUAAUAAUAUUAAACACACACACAAAAAUGACCAGGUUACUAACACCUAAAUUCCUGUGAGAGGAGAAAUGGGGAUCAUAGUUUCCCAGUUUCAUUUUCUGCACUAUUCACAAUGAUAUAUACCAUCCCGUGGCCCAGGAGUACCCCUAUAGAAGCUCCCAUCAGAGCCCACAGGACUUGUCACUGAUUUCAAUGACAUAAACAACUCGUUUCAGAACACAGGAAAAGCUUGUCUGACCUUUUGCAGUGUCUGCCUGAAGAGACACCAUUUUUCACACAACAGCUCAAAGAUGUGUUUGUUUUCCACCCAAGUCUCAACACCCCAUUGUGAGGGAGUAGUCCCGAACACCCCCACAGGGGCUUUGGCUCACUGAGGUGAAUUUAUCACAAGAACACACUUUCUACAUCAGACAGCACAGCCCCAGAGGGUUAAUGCCUUGGAUGCUCAGCUGGAUGCAGCCUGAAAGCAGAGCCCCUUAGAUGCACAUUCAGAAUGAGAAGAGCUGGAAGCUGUCACACGCCACUGCCGAGAACAAAGCUCCGGCCUCUUAAAUUAAAACUUUUGCACACCA
Molecule: long non-coding RNA, 1563 nt
Organism: Pezoporus occidentalis (night parrot)
Lineage: Eukaryota; Metazoa; Chordata; Aves; Psittaciformes; Psittacidae
Exons: 2
Source: RefSeq, a predicted model, not a curated record